This 212-nucleotide long non-coding RNA is filed under the name Elaeis guineensis (African oil palm). RNAcentral describes it as "long non-coding RNA (EGUI_LNC008618)". The record is from RNAcentral. Lineage: Eukaryota; Viridiplantae; Streptophyta; Magnoliopsida; Arecales; Arecaceae.
CAUCGCGGAAAGAGAUAAACAUAAGGGUAAUAAUAGGUGUUUAAAAGGUUAAAGAGGUUAUUUUUUAAAAGUUAUACCUCACAAUUCAUACACGAAAUAAUCGGGCAGUAACCAUCCAUCUCUGGUGUCAAUACUCGCUUACAUCUGAACUCCACUGUGUUUUCAGUAAUUGAGGCCACUAUUCUUCCACUCACCAUGUUUUGAUACCCCCU